RNAcentral lists this ribosomal RNA (498 nucleotides) under uncultured bacterium. RNAcentral's name for it is "partial 16S ribosomal RNA". It matches the Rfam family "Bacterial small subunit ribosomal RNA", at positions 30 to 523 of the family's 1533-position model. The record is from RNAcentral.
AUUGAACGCUGGCGGCAUGCCUUACACAUGCAAGUCGAACGGUAACGCGGGGCAACCUGGCGACGAGUGGCGAACGGGUGAGUAAAGUAUCGGAACGUGCCCAGUAGUGGGGGAUAGCCCGGCGAAAGCCGGAUUAAUACCGCAUGAGACCUGAGGGUGAAAGCGGGGGAUCGCAAGACCUCGCGCUAUUGGAGCGGCCGAUAUCAGAUUAGGUAGUUGGUGGGAUAAAAGCUUACCAAGCCGACGAUCUGUAGCUGGUCUGAGAGGACGACCAGCCACACUGGGACUGAGACACGGCCCAGACUCCUACGGGAGGCAGCAGUGGGGAAUUUUGGACAAUGGGCGCAAGCCUGAUCCAGCCAUGCCGCGUGCAGGAUGAAGGCCUUCGGGUUGUAAACUGCUUUUGUACGGAACGAAAAGACUCUGGUUAAUACCUGGGGUCCAUGACGGUACCGUAAGAAUAAGCACCGGCUAACUACGUGCCAGCCGCCGCCGUAA